CUCCUAAAUUCAUUGAACUUGUCUCAUAGCUUUACUCUGUAUUAUGCUGCAAAUGUGCCUUAAGAGACUUAUUAAAAUGUGAAGACAGUUUUUAUAACAUCAAACUAGACCUUAAUUUUGAACCAGAACAUGAUAAUCUAUAUUUAAACAAAGUGAGUGCUGAGGUAAAUGUUAUAGCCCUAUCAAACCAUACAGAGAGGAAGGGAGUGAGACAGCUGAGAAUCACAGUCCCAUAUUAUUUAGAGCCUGUUGUGCUCACAGAAGAUAGGCUGGCACAUUUUGAUUGAUGUUCCCCACCCAGUGUGUGUAUCCUAAAUGUAGAUUAGCAAAAUAGACCACGGUCUGGAAAAACACCUGGAGGCCCAAGUAGGUGGAAGCCAACUAGGAAACAGGCAACCCUUCAGAAAGAAACCUCUAUGGAAUAGAAAUGUAAGACAGUCUUUUCCACUUGUAACAUUCAGAAGUACAUUGGACUUUUGACAAUGACUUCCUGUGGAGUCACUAUUAAAGACUAUUUAGCUCCAGAAAUAAUGCUAUGUCUAUUCCUACCAGGUACGGUGACAUGCUUGAGUUUCACAUAUUCUGGUGUUUGAUAAUCUGGACACUCACUGUAAAGUUACUCAUAUGCUUCUUCUUAGAUUAUAGUAGUAUUAAGCAUUAAUUAAAUGUAGCCCCCUCUCUCUCCCUCUUUCUCUCUCAAUAGGACCUUGACAGGGGGCUUUGAUCUAAUGAUCAUGCUGGCCUCAGUCAGUAAGUAUUGGUACUAUAGGCCCAUGUCUGGAUGAGCCUCCAUCUUGGCAGGAUAUAUAUUUUGCCUCCUUUGCACAGCUAUCAUCUGAUCAAGCCCUCUUUUCUGAUCUCAUCACUCAGCUUUACUUUACUAGGUAUUAAAAUGAACUCUGUUCCUCUGGACUAUGAGAUUUCUGAGCCUCCAUGAAACUAAAAUUCACUAACCAUCCAUGUCAUCCUCGGAUGGGAAGUAACAGCAAUACAAAAUUACUCAUGCAAUAUUUAAGCUCAUAUGCCAUGAUGAGCCAGCCAUAGUGUUUCCCAUGGUACCUAAUAAUUCAGAAGUCUCCACUUAGACAAUAUGGAAUUUGACUGCCUCAUACAUCAUAUUUCUCUUCACGUUAGGGAACAUGUGGCUAUCUGAAGGUAUGAAAAUUAAUUUAGUCUAGAUUCAUAUUUUACAUUUACUCAAAUAUUUAUUUGUACUCAUAAAACGUUAAUUGAGGUAAUUUAAAAGGUGAAGAACUAAAAGACCUCUCAAAUAUUGACCAAAAGACUGUGGGAAGUAACUUAAAGAACUUAACAUCAAAAUCACUGCAGGCACAUUGCCAUAACCCUUCCAUACAAUCACAUCUCUCCUUAAAACCACACUCCCCACCUGGUGAAUUCAUGGACUGAUUUGCUCUACAAGGUGCCAUAAAUAUAGCUAAUGUGAGAAAUGUAACCAACUAGAAGGAAGAAAUAUAAAUGUACAAACAAGAUAUUUUUUGCUAGAGUCUGGGGCACUCGGGAGGUUCAUAAUCGCCAUACAAAUAUAUAAAAAUUUUUUAAGGAGAACGUUUAUUUUAAUCCAUUGUUUCUCCUUUGAUUCUUCGAGUCAACCCUGCAAAAGAAAAAGCAAACAUAUCAUUAGGUUCUUUCCCUCCUUAAUUUUAUUACGAUAUGACUAACAAACAGAAACUGUAUAUGUACAAUUUGAUGUGAUGUUUUGAUAUAUGCAUACACCAUGA
Molecule: long non-coding RNA, 1739 nt
Filed under: Cricetulus griseus (Chinese hamster)
Lineage: Eukaryota; Metazoa; Chordata; Mammalia; Rodentia; Cricetidae
Description: lncRNA (ENSCGRG00015031032.1)
Source: RNAcentral